RNAcentral lists this ribosomal RNA (467 nucleotides) under uncultured bacterium. RNAcentral's name for it is "bacterial SSU rRNA". It matches the Rfam family "Bacterial small subunit ribosomal RNA", at positions 28 to 507 of the family's 1533-position model. The record is from RNAcentral.
GAUGAACGCUAGCUACAGGCUUAACACAUGCAAGUCGAGGGGUCUCGAGGGAGCUUGCUCUUGAGAGACGACCGGCGCACGGGUGGGUAACGCGUAUCCAACCUGCCCUUCAUAUUGGGAUAGCCUUCCGAAAGGGAGAUUAAUACCGAAUAACAUGAGAAGAUUGCAUGAACCUCUCAUGAAAGCUCCGGCGAUGAAGGAUGGGGAUGCGUUCCAUUAGGUAGUAGGCGGGGUAACGGCCCACCUAGCCGACGAUGGAUAGGGGUUCUGAGAGGAAGGUCCCCCACACUGGAACUGAGACACGGUCCAGACUCCUACGGGAGGCAGCAGUGGGGAAUAUUGGGCAAUGGGCGCAAGCCUGACCCAGCAAUGCCGCGUGAAGGAAGAAGGCUUUCGGGUUGUAAACUUCUUUUGUCAGGGACGAGUAGAAGACGGUACCUGAAGAAAAAGCAACGGCUAACUACGUG